UACGGAGGGUGCGAGCGUUGUCCGGAAUCACUGGGCGUAAAGGGCGCGUAGGCGGUGGGGUCAGCGUGUGGUGAAAGUCCGGGGCUCAACCCCGGAUCGGCCGUGCGAACUGCCCCACUUGAGCACUGUAGAGGCAGGUGGAAUUCCGGGUGUAGCGGUGGAAUGCGUAGAGAUCCGGAAGAACACCAGAGGCGAAGGCGGCCUGCUGGGCAGUGGCUGACGCUGAGGCGCGACAGCGUGGGGAGCAAACAGG
This 253-nucleotide ribosomal RNA is filed under the name uncultured bacterium. RNAcentral's name for it is "partial 16S ribosomal RNA". It matches the Rfam family "Bacterial small subunit ribosomal RNA", at positions 524 to 776 of the family's 1533-position model. The record is from RNAcentral.